This is a non-coding RNA of Thozetella sp. PMI_491, 73 nucleotides long. NCBI's taxonomy places the organism in Eukaryota, Fungi, Ascomycota, Sordariomycetes, Chaetosphaeriales, Chaetosphaeriaceae. The record is from the annotation of a GenBank genome assembly.
GGCUGCGUGGUGUAGUGGUUAGCAUUCCUGAGGUAACUAUAGGAGGUCGUGGGUUCGAUUCCCGCCGUAGCUA